Oryza barthii is the source of this 203-nucleotide non-coding RNA. The record is from Rfam. Lineage: Eukaryota; Viridiplantae; Streptophyta; Magnoliopsida; Poales; Poaceae.
AGUACUCGCUCCGUUCUAUUUUCCACGCUCAAUUUUAGUCGUCCAUCUUAUUUAAAAUUUUUUUAAUUAGUAUUUUUAUUGUUAUAAGAUAAUAAAACAUAAAUAGUACUUUAUACGUGACUUAUGUUUUUAAUUUUUUUAAAAAAAUUAAAAAUAAAGAGAAUGAUUAAAAUUGGAAAUGAAAAUUCAUAGCUGCAGUUAAA